GGCCAGUUAGCUCAGUGGGUUGAGCACAGUGCUGUAAACACCGAGGUCCUGGGUUCAGUUCCUGUUUGGUCU
RNAcentral lists this transfer RNA (72 nucleotides) under Apaloderma vittatum (bar-tailed trogon). It matches the Rfam family "tRNA". Rfam says of the family: Transfer RNA (tRNA) molecules are approximately 80 nucleotides in length. Their secondary structure includes four short double-helical elements and three loops (D, anti-codon, and T loops). Further hydrogen bonds mediate the characteristic L-shaped molecular structure. tRNAs have two regions of fundamental functional importance: the anti-codon, which is responsible for specific mRNA codon recognition, and the 3' end, to which the tRNAs corresponding amino acid is attached (by aminoacyl-tRNA synthetases). tRNAs cope with the degeneracy of the genetic code in two manners: having more than one tRNA (with a specific anti-codon) for a particular amino acid; and 'wobble' base-pairing, i.e. permitting non-standard base-pairing at the 3rd anti-codon position. Lineage: Eukaryota; Metazoa; Chordata; Aves; Trogoniformes; Trogonidae. The record is from Rfam by way of RNAcentral.